CAAGUCGAACGGUAACAGGUGUAGCAAUACGCGCUGACGAGUGGCAGACGGGUGAGGAACACGUACGCAAUCUUCCUCUUUCUGGUGAAUAGCCCUGAGAAAUUAGGAUUAAUACACCAUAGUAUUACGAAAUGGCAUCAUUUUGUAAUUAAAACUCCGGUGGAAAGAGAUGAGCGUGCGACUGAUUAGCUAGUUGGUAAGGUAACGGCUUACCAAGGCAACGAUCAGUAACUGGUGUGAGAGCACGACCAGUCACACGGGCACUGAGAUACGGGCCCGACUCCUACGGGAGGCAGCAGUAAGGAAUAUUGGUCAAUGGAGGCAACUCUGAACCAGCCAUGCCGCGUGAAGGAUGAAGGCCCUCUGGGUUGUAAACUUCUUUUAUCUGGGAAGAAAUCCACUGUUUCUACGGUGGUUGACGGUACCAGAGGAAUAAGCACCGGCUAACUCCGUGCCAGCAGCCGCGGUAAUACGGAGGGUGCAAGCGUUAUCCGGAUUUACUGGGUUUAAAGGGUGCGUAGGCGGGCUUUUAAGUCAGUGGUGAAAUCUCCGGGCUCAACCCGGAAAUUGCCAUUGAUACUAUUAGUCUUGAAUUAAGUUGAGGUGGGCGGAAUGUGUCAUGUAGCGGUGAAAUGCUUAGAUAUGACACAGAACACCGAUUGCGAAGGCAGCUCGCUAAACUUAUAUUGACGCUGAGGCACGAAAGCGUGGGGAUCAAACAGGAUUAGAAACCCUGGUAGUCCACGCCCUAAACGAUGAUUACUCGAUUUUAGCGAUACACUGUUAGAGUCUAUGCAAAAGCAUUAAGUAAUCCACCUGGGGAGUACGACCGCAAGGUUGAAACUCAAAGGAAUUGACGGGGGUCCGCACAAGCGGUGGA
Molecule: ribosomal RNA, 880 nt
Filed under: uncultured Sphingobacteriia bacterium
Lineage: Bacteria; Pseudomonadati; Bacteroidota; Sphingobacteriia
Description: bacterial SSU rRNA
Rfam family: Bacterial small subunit ribosomal RNA
Source: RNAcentral